This 443-nucleotide ribosomal RNA is filed under the name uncultured bacterium. RNAcentral's name for it is "SSU rRNA". It matches the Rfam family "Bacterial small subunit ribosomal RNA", at positions 26 to 518 of the family's 1533-position model. The record is from RNAcentral.
AGAACGAACGCUGGCGGCAUGCCUAACACAUGCAAGUCGAAUGAGACCUUCGGGUCUAGUGGCGCACGGGUGCGUAACGCGUGGGAACCUGCCUUGAGGUUCGGAAUAACUCCCGAAAGGGGUGCUAAUACCGGAUAAUGUCUUCGGACCAAAGAUUUAUCGCCUUUAGAUGGGCCCGCGUUGGAUUAGCUAGUUGGUGGGGUAAAGGCCUACCAAGGCGACGAUCCAUAGCUGGUCUGAGAGGAUGAUCAGCCACACUGGGACUGAGACACGGCCCAGACUCCUACGGGAGGCAGCAGGUGGGGAAUAUUGGACAAUGGGCGAAAGCCUGAUCCAGCAAUGCCGCGUGAGUGAUGAAGGCCUUAGGGUUGUAGAGCUCUUUUACCCGGAUGAUAAUGACAGUACCGGAGAAUAAGCCCGGCUAACUCCGUGCCAGCAGCCGC